GUGGUUAGAAAUUUGUAUUUAAAUUACAUAUGAUGCAUGAUUAAAUAUUUAGAACGUGCUUGUAACCUAAGUUUCUUAGUUAAAUAAUAUUAAGUCUUAAUGGCGAAGUUAAGAAUACUACCCAUACCUUCCUUCAUGCUAAGCCUGUAUUAUCUCAAGAACUAUAGUAGGUUUGUUGUGCUAUCCAUAAGACUAGCUGUGGGGAC
This 206-nucleotide long non-coding RNA is filed under the name Elaeis guineensis (African oil palm). RNAcentral describes it as "long non-coding RNA (EGUI_LNC080388)". Lineage: Eukaryota; Viridiplantae; Streptophyta; Magnoliopsida; Arecales; Arecaceae. The record is from RNAcentral.